This 350-nucleotide ribosomal RNA is filed under the name uncultured bacterium. Its description in RNAcentral is "bacterial SSU rRNA". It matches the Rfam family "Bacterial small subunit ribosomal RNA", at positions 132 to 500 of the family's 1533-position model. The record is from RNAcentral.
UAGUUACAGGGAUAGCCCGAGGAAACUCGGAUUAAUACCUGAUAUUCUUUUCAUUUCGCAUGAAAUCAAAAGGAAAGGUCAGCCGAACUAAGAUGAGCUCGCGUUCUAUCAGCUAGUUGGUGAGGUAAUAGCUCACCAAGGCUACGACGGAUAGCUGGUCUGAGAGGACGAUCAGCCACACUGGGACUGAGACACGGCCCAGACUCCUACGGGAGGCUGCAGCAGGGAAUAUUGCGCAAUGAGCGAAAGCUUGACGCAGCGACACCGCGUGUGGGAUGACGGAUCUAGGUUUGUAAACCACUUUCAGGAGGGAAGAAAAUGACGGUACCUCCACAAGAAGCCCCGGCCAA